This is a long non-coding RNA of Zingiber officinale, 789 nucleotides long. RefSeq lists it as uncharacterized. The transcript is spliced from 4 exons. The record is from RefSeq and is a predicted model, not a curated record. NCBI's taxonomy places the organism in Eukaryota, Viridiplantae, Streptophyta, Magnoliopsida, Zingiberales, Zingiberaceae.
ACAACUCCUCAUCUCAUGCCUAUCUUCCCGAACCCCUCUCACAACUCCUCAUCUCAUGCCUAUCUUCCCGAACCCCUCUCACACCCUCUCCAUCCAACUCCUCUCACGCCCUCUCCUUCCAACUCCUCUCCAGUAAACCCCUCUCCGGCGAACUCCUCUCCUCUGAAUUCCUUCACCUCUUCGUCAAAUAGCAAAUGCCCUAAUCUCUUCGCCUCCAUCGCCUCAUUCACGCUUCCUUCACACUGCCCAAUCUCUUUGAUCCCACCUUCGUCAAGCGGUAUAUCCCGACGCUGAGGCGAUCGAUCACGGCAGAUCAACCCAUCUCUUCGCUUCCUUCGUCCCCGACGCUGAGGCGACCCGUCGCCACUAGUGUCUUCUGCAUCAGAUCGAGCACUCUGGUCCAUACCAUCAUUCUAAAAGAUGAGGAGGCAAGUGGAAAUGGUGGCAACUUUACAGAAGUAGAGUAUUCUCGAGAAGAAAUUGAUGAGGUACGAUCGGAGUUGGUAGAAUGUAUACAAGAUCAUAUUUAUGAGUAGCUGCAUUCAAGUUUAUAUACACAGUGGUAGGUGUUUUGUCCCAGUCUCAAGCAGACAAUUCAUUUUGAUCAGUAUAUCUAGUAGAAGUAAGCAUGCAGAUCGUUGUCUUCGUGGUCGGCUAGCUAUUUUGUGUUUUUUUUGUUUUAAAUUUGAAUGUCACUAACUACUUUGAAACAGAAAUAUUUAGUCUUUCUGUAUAAUUGAAUUCUCCUGUAAAUACUAAUACUUUGUAGUUGAAUUCUAUUGUUUGGUA